Molecule: unclassified non-coding RNA, 166 nt
Organism: Calidris pygmaea (Spoon-billed sandpiper)
Lineage: Eukaryota; Metazoa; Chordata; Aves; Charadriiformes; Scolopacidae
Source: Ensembl
UUGACAGUCCUGAGACUGAAGUCCUCUAUUCAUGGAGCAGCUAGAGCCCAAGCAGCAGCAGCAAAGCUUCCUCAUGCUGCCCCUCAACCUUGACCUGGAGGGCUCACCUCUAGCGAUGAGCCGGGCUGGCGGCUCAGUUUCCAAGCCCCUUCAUUCUCUGGCCUCU